Molecule: ribosomal RNA, 878 nt
Filed under: uncultured bacterium
Lineage: Bacteria
Description: bacterial SSU rRNA
Rfam family: Bacterial small subunit ribosomal RNA
Source: RNAcentral
CUGCAGUCGAUACGGGCAAACUAGAGUGUGGUAGGGGAGACUGGAAUUCCUGGUGUAGCGGUGGAAUGCGCAGAUAUCAGGAGGAACACCAAUGGCGAAGGCAGGUCUCUGGGCCAUAACUGACACUGAGGAGCGAAAGUGCGGGGAGCGAACAGGAUUAGAUACCCUGGUAGUCCGCACCGUAAACGGUGGGCACUAGUUGUGGGAACCUUCCACGGUUUCCGCGACGCAGCAAACGCAUUAAGUGCCCCGCCUGGGGAGUACGAUCGCAAGAUUAAAACUCAAAGGAAUUGACGGGGCCCCGCACAAGCAGCGGAGCAUGCGGCUUAAUUCGACGCAACGCGAAGAACCUUACCAAGGCUUAACAUAUAGUGAAAAGUGGCAGAGAUGUCAUGUCCGCAAGGGCGCUAUACAGGUGGUGCAUGGUUGUCGUCAGCUCGUGUCGUGAGAUGUUGGGUUAAGUCCCGCAACGAGCGCAACCCUCGUUCUGUGUUACCAGCAUUAAGUUGGGGACUCACAGGAGACUGCCGGGGUCAACUCGGAGGAAGGUGGGGAUGACGUCAAAUCAUCAUGCCCCUUAUGUCUUGGGCUGCACGCAUGCUACAAUGGCCGGUACAAAGUGCUGCGAGAUCGCAAGAUUGAGCGAAUCACAUAAAGCCGGUCUCAGUUCGGAUUGAGGUCUGCAACUCGACCUCAUGAAGUCGGAGUUGCUAGUAAUCGUAGAUCAGCAACGCUACGGUGAAUACGUUCCCGGGGCUUGUACACACCGCCCGUCACGUCACGAAAGUCGGUAACACCCAAAGUUAGUGGCCCAACCGCAAGGGGGGAGCUACCUAAGGUGGGAUCGGUGAUUGGGACGAAGUCGUAACAAGGUAACC